UUCUUAUCAAGAGCAGGUGGAGGGACUGGCCCGAUGAAGCCCGGCAACCGACUUAAACGAUGUUUAAGCACGGUGCUAAAUCUUGCAGCAAUUGCUGGCAGAUAAGGA
RNAcentral lists this non-coding RNA (108 nucleotides) under Metabacillus indicus. Its description in RNAcentral is "Bacillus cibi SAM-I sequence". It matches the Rfam family "SAM riboswitch aptamer (S box leader)". Rfam says of the family: The SAM riboswitch is found upstream of a number of genes which code for proteins involved in methionine or cysteine biosynthesis in Gram-positive bacteria. Lineage: Bacteria; Bacillati; Bacillota; Bacilli; Caryophanales; Bacillaceae. The record is from Rfam by way of RNAcentral.